GCAAGCAGAGAGGUCUCAAUCAUCAAAUGUUUGUCAGUAAAAGCCUAAACCCAAAGAAGUCUGCAAUGAAGUUGAUUUGUCUCCCUUCUCAAAGGGUGUUUAUACUUAAGUGGGCAUAAGUGAUUAGAAAACAAACAACCUAUAUACAGGUUUGUUUAAUGAAGUGCCGCAACUGAAAACUAAGAGCUAUAGCAGUACAAAGUUGACCCAAAACCAACCUUGUUCUAAGUUCAAACUAAAGAAACAUCCGAACUUGGACAAAAUUGAGAAUUCCCUUAUUAUUGCUGAGUUUUUAAUUAACUGUUAAUGAUGAUUUUGAUUAAAACAGAGACUGUUUAGAGCCGUUAUUUUCCAAAUCUGGCUUUUCUGUAACACAACAUUAAAAACCAAUCAUAUUUUCAAUCCAACAUUUCGUAUCAAAUGGUGACUACUAAUAUAAAACAUCGGUAAACGGGUUCGAACAUAAACCGAGUUCAAAUAGAUGAUAUAUUUGUAUUGGUCAAGUCUACAUAUGUCUGCAUGAAAAAAAUGGUGCCACACUUGUUUGAAAUGUUUAUAAAAAUUUUAGAUAAAACAAACAAGCAAGACUUUUCUUCUACACUGCAAUGAUUUUUUUUUAUUUUUAUAUAAAUGCACNNNNNNNNNNNNNNNNNNNNNNNNNNNNNNNNNNNNNNNNNNNNNNNNNNNNNNNNNNNNNNNNNNNNNNUUCAUUUAUAAUAAAAUAAAUUCAUGAUGAAGUAAUUAAUUUGGAAAAAGGGAGUGAUUUAAACAGUAAUAAAGUAAUACAAAUAUGACAUUAGCAAAUUUUGACAAAUGUGAAACAAAUCUGGUUAACAUCUAAUCAGUGGAGAAAAAAAGAUAAUUAUGAUAAUUGCUGAUUAAGGUGACCAACUGACCAUGAAAGGAUUCAGUAUUCUUCUUCUCCUAAUUAUUCUAAACCAAACUGAGUAGUUUAAUUUCUCCCCAUGGGAUGAGUACUGAUGGUCAAUUGCGUUUAUCACAAUUAACCCGCAUGAUUAAUUACAACUCCUCAGCCUUUUUCUUUUCCUGCAAACAUGAGCAUAUAUCUGUAUCUGAAUUACAAAAGAAAAAUUGAACUUAUUAAAAAUCGAGAAUUAAUGUUUCCAAAUAACAUAACGUUUUCCGUCGAAGAGAGUAGAAACAUAAUCAUCUGUAAUUAAUUUUUACGUGAUUAUAAAUAUAAAGUUUGAAUUAGUUUUAUAUUAUUUAUUAACACCUCCGAUGUAGUUAGAUAUUUGAAAAAAAAAAUUAAUUUCAAUGAUAUUAAAUUCAUUAUGGUUUCGAAAUUAGAAAUGAAUUCGAUAAUUUUGUUUAUAGUCCCUUUCCCACCCUAAGACGAAUGUUUGAAAUAAAAACAUGGUAUUCGCUCUAACCGAACACACCAUCCAUACUUGGACCAUACACUCAUGGGCUUUUUUUAGGUUGGAUUAUAGGCAAUGAUUAAUGGGUUGUUGCCCGAUGGGCUCCUAGCUAAGCCUUUUUCUAUAGAUAGUGGGCUUUCCGUCCAACUAUACGGAAGAAAAAUAGUUUUGCAUACCUAUUGAAGACUAGGACGGAAGAUGUUUGGUUUCUAACGGUGGAUGGAACGGAAUGAUGUGUUCAGUCGUUAUGUAUAGGCUUGUUUAUUGAAGUGCCGUACUGAAAAUUAAGAGCUAGCAGUGCAAAGUUGACCCAAAACUGAAACCUCGUUCCAAGUUCAAACCUCUCCAGGAAAGAAACAUCCCAACUUAGACAAAAUGCCUGAAUGAAAUGUUGAAAUGUUGCAUUUUUGUUUUAGAUGAGGCGAUUUGUUGAAAUGUUGAAAUGCUAGCAAGAACCUUUGUUUGUGCUUAUAUAUAAGCUGAUACGACGAGAAUUCUCUACCAAGGUCUGUUUUUGUUCUUUUGAAUGCUGUAGAUGAAUUGAGCAGAUCAAUGAUUCUAACUUUCUUCAGUACUUCAGUUUGGGGAGAUGGGUUACGUUUAUCUAUAGUUCCUAUUUGUUUUAAAAUGAGAGCUCUUGAUUCAUUGUGCUGGUUUCAUUCGAAGAGGCCAACGAUGAGCACUGGACUGGAAGAGCAGUAAAGGUGACAUUGUAUGAUGGCUGAAACCAAUCAUCAUAAAACCUUUGUCAAGUGAUCUCUAUGCUUGAUAAGUAUGUUUCCUUGUUAGAAUCUAAAGUAUAGUCUGUGUACCAGCAACAAUCAUCUGCUUCAUGAAUGGAAUAAAACUCGUUUUUUCUCUUGCAAUUGGUUCAGUUAAUUAGUCUGGCAACGGAUUACAAUUAUACAAGCAAAGUGCACAAAAGAAAGUAGAACAAGGAGGCAUUUCUCAAAUCAUUUCAUUCAUGUUAAACAAAAAAGGUUUACAAGAUGUAAGGAACAAUUCUCAAUCAUGUUCUAAUAACAGUAGAGCAGCUAUUGCUACCCACACUGCUACUUGAACGUUGCAAAAUGGAACUAAUCAUCUUCCUCACAGCUACAUUAGGCACAAAAUCACCAUCUCCACCAUCAAUAUUAGCCGCCGCUCCACAAGCACACGUCUUCGAUUUCUUCACAUGCUCUCUGAUGCAACCUUGGCAGAAGCUCCUUAAGCAGCAUCUCUUCACCAACACGGCAUCUCUCAUCACUCCUCUGCAUAAUUGACAAUGAAGCUCCGGCGGCAGAACCACCAUAUCACUGCUGCUGCUGGAUUGAGAUUGAGAAACCACCGACGAUAAGAUUCCCUCCACUGCUGUUGCUGCACUUGGCGUUGAUGGUCGCAUUCUCUUGAAGUUGUUGUAAUUUGGAUCGCCGUUUGUUGGACAGUCGUAAAUGAAGUGGCCCUCUUUGUUGCAGCGGUGGCAGACGUAGCCGGGAGGAGGGAGAGAGGGGUAAGGUUGCUUUCUCUUUCUCGAGUCCCAUCCUCCGUCGCUGUUGCUGGUGAGUGUAGACGCCAUCGCUUGUGACCAGCUUCCAAAAGCAGGAGUGAUCAUCGUGUUCUUCGGAGGCGCGUCAACAACUUUUGAAGGAACUGCGUAGACAUCCCCACCGAAUUCAUCAUCGUCGUACAGAUAGUCUGUUUCCUCCUCUGUUGCUGCCUUGCUGAUGGUGGAGCUCUGAGAAACAACGGUGCUAGACUUGGUGGCGGUAAUGGAACUUGAAUACGAUUGACCAGCUGCCUUCAAUUGAAUCGGGCUAGUGUCGAGUUGCUGAUAACCGCCGCCUGGGACUCGGCCGCCUGGGACUCGCCGGAGUAAAACGGACGAGUUGCCAAAAAUCUCCUGCUGCUCGUUCUCAUACUCAGUGUUGGUCUGGGAAUCGAUGAUCGAGAGAUCGUAAUCGUUUCCCAAGCACAACCCGUCCUUACGGCGACUGUAAUCGCCGUACUUAGCUUUGAAUUUGGCGUUAAAGAUUCCCUCUUUCAGAUCCUUAACGGUUACGCAACGCCCUGAAAAUUGGAUCUCGGAAAAUUCCUUAGCACUCUGGAACUUAUAGCUCACUAUCACAAUCGCCAUGAUUUUAGGGUUUCUGUUUGUUCUAGAAAAAGAUGCAGAAAAUUGGAUUCAAUUUCGGGACGCGUCGAAUCACGAAAGCAUUAUAUUACGCAAAACAAAACCAGGUAUUCGAAAAUAUUCAGAUUGAUUGAUCAUAAACCCUAAUAAAGUAUACGCAAUCGAAGGCGGGAGCGAGAGAUGAUCAAACUCGGAGCAACAAGCAGAGAGGAUUUCUAUCAAUAUUGAACGUACAAAAGAAAUUACAACCAAUUUAUUGAUUCUUUCUUUUCAAUCAGAUAGAGACAGGCAAUUACAAUUUCAGAUCGCCAACUAUUCUUUUCAAUCCGUCGUCUUCCUUCUGGUGGAAGCUGCUGUCGUCGGCCGGAAAAAGAACAGGGAAGCAAUCGCGAAGAGAUCACCGGAGAGGGGAGAAAGAAUGAAAGAAACCACCGUGAUUUUGAGAGCGUCGGAAGAAUGCUUUUUCUUUUUUAGUCUGAAAGUAAAAGUUAAGAAGCAAUAAAAAGGUGCAGAUCUCGCUGAGACGUUUGGGUAUAUAUAUAAUAUAUUGGGGGAGAAAGGGUGUUGCACGCGCU
RNAcentral lists this long non-coding RNA (4067 nucleotides) under Linum usitatissimum (flax). RNAcentral's name for it is "long non-coding RNA (LUSI_LNC005840)". The record is from RNAcentral. Lineage: Eukaryota; Viridiplantae; Streptophyta; Magnoliopsida; Malpighiales; Linaceae.